Podarcis lilfordi (Lilford's wall lizard) is the source of this 71-nucleotide non-coding RNA. The record is from the annotation of a GenBank genome assembly. NCBI's taxonomy places the organism in Eukaryota, Metazoa, Chordata, Lepidosauria, Squamata, Lacertidae.
GCUGGGAUAGCUCAGUCAGUAGAGCAUGAGACUUAAUCUCAGAGUUGUGGGUUAGAGGCCCACACUGGGCA